Caretta caretta (loggerhead turtle) is the source of this 251-nucleotide non-coding RNA. NCBI's taxonomy places the organism in Eukaryota, Metazoa, Chordata, Testudines, Cheloniidae. The record is from RefSeq and is a predicted model, not a curated record.
CACAAGAAAGUCAGUGUCCUACCUGAGCUGAAAUCUCACCAGGUGUUUUCCUGUCCGGUUCCCUGAUGACGCUGUGAUUAUAACCGCUAUUGAAGAUUUUCCCACACUCAGAGCUCUUGAAUGGUUUCUCUUCCAUUUGGAUAAUCCACGGAGUGAGGAAUCUGAUUGCGUCUUCAGUUCUGCAGUAUAUUUAUGUUGUUAUUCUCUGGUCUGGUCUCUCUGCCUAGAAUUAUGAAGCUUUUGGCUCUUUG